UGGGCGUAAGCGCACGCAGGCGGUCUGUCAAGUCGGAUGUGAAAUCCCCGGCCUCAACCUGGGAACUGCAUUCGAAACUGGCAGGCUAGAGUCUUGUAGAGGGGGGUAGAAUUCCAGGUGUAGCGGUGAAAUGCGUAGAGAUCUGGAGGAAUACCGGUGGCGAAGGCGGCCCCCUGGACAAAGACUGACGCUCAGGUGCGAAAGCGUGGGGAGCAAACAGGAUUAGAUACCCUGGUAGUCCACGCCGUAAACGAUGUCGACUUGGAGGUUGUGCCCUUGAGGCGUGGCUUCCGGAGCUAACGCGUUAAGUCGACCGCCUGGGGAGUACGGCCGCAAGGUUAAAACUCAAAUGAAUUGACGGGGGCCCGCACAAGCGGUGGAGCAUGUGGUUUAAUUCGAUGCAACGCGAAGAACCUUACCUACUCUUGACAUCCAGAGAACUUUCCAGAGAUGGAUUGGUGCCUUCGGGAACUCUGAGACAGGUGCUGCAUGGCUGUCGUCAGCUCGUGUUGUGAAAUGUUGGGUUAAGUCCCGCAACGAGCGCAACCCUUAUCCUUUGUUGCCAGCGGUUAGGCCGGGAACUCAAAGGAGACUGCCAGUGAUAAACUGGAGGAAGGUGGGGAUGACGUCAAGU
This 634-nucleotide ribosomal RNA is filed under the name Enterobacter hormaechei. Its description in RNAcentral is "bacterial SSU rRNA". It matches the Rfam family "Bacterial small subunit ribosomal RNA", at positions 555 to 1190 of the family's 1533-position model. Lineage: Bacteria; Pseudomonadati; Pseudomonadota; Gammaproteobacteria; Enterobacterales; Enterobacteriaceae. The record is from RNAcentral.